CCUACGGGAGGCAGCAGUGAGGAAUAUUGGUCAAUGGACGCAAGUCUGAACCAGCCAAGUAGCGUGCAGGAUGACGGCCCUCUGGGUUGUAAACUGCUUUUAGUUGGGAAUAAAAGGGAGUUCGUGAGCUCCUUAUCGUAUGUAUCAUCAGAAAAAGGACCGGCUAAUUCCGUGCCAGCAGCCGAGGUAACACGGAAGGUCCGGGCGUUAUCCGGAUUUUUUGGGUUUAAAGGGAGCGUAGGUGGUUUGUCAAGUUAGUAGCGAAAUUUCAAGGCUCAACCUUGGAACUACUGCUAAUACUGUUAGACUUGAGUGCAGGAGGGGCAGCCGGAAUUCGUAGUGUAGCGGUGGAAUGCGUAGAUAUUAGGAGGAACUCCAGUGGCGAAGGCAGGUUGCUGGACUGUAACUGACGCUGAGGCACGAAAGCGUGGGGAGCAAACAGGAUUAGAUACCCGGGUAGUC
This 462-nucleotide ribosomal RNA is filed under the name uncultured bacterium. RNAcentral describes it as "partial 16S ribosomal RNA". It matches the Rfam family "Bacterial small subunit ribosomal RNA", at positions 338 to 795 of the family's 1533-position model. The record is from RNAcentral.